This 253-nucleotide ribosomal RNA is filed under the name uncultured bacterium. Its description in RNAcentral is "partial 16S ribosomal RNA". It matches the Rfam family "Bacterial small subunit ribosomal RNA", at positions 524 to 776 of the family's 1533-position model. The record is from RNAcentral.
UACGUAGGUGGCAAGCGUUGUUCGGAAUUAUUGGGCGUAAAGGGCGCGUAGGCGGUUUGCUAAGUCAGUUGUGAAAGCCCGGGGCUCAACCCCGGAGGGUCGGCUGAUACUGGUGGACUAGAGUACGGAAGAGGUAGCUGGAAUUCCCGGUGUAGCGGUGAAAUGCGUAGAGAUCGGGAGGAACACCAGAGGCGAAAGCGGCGACCUGGACAGGUACUGACACUCAAUUGCGAAAGCGUGGGGAGCAAACAGG